GGCUUUUUGAUAAUAAUUUAAGGUUUGACCUGCCCUAUGAUUUAAAUAUUAAAUGGCCGCGGUACUUUGACCGUGCAAAGGUAGCAUAAUCAUUAGUUUUUUAAUUGAAAGCUUGUAUGAAAGGUUUGAUGAAAAAAAAACUGUCUUUAUUUAAAUUUUAUAGAAAUUUAUUUUUAAGUUAAAAAGCUUAAAUAUAUAUUAAAGACGAGAAGACCCUAUAGAGUUUUAUAUUUUUGUAAAAUUAUUAUAUUUUAGAAUUUUUUUAAUGAUUUUAUAAAUUUUAUUUAGUUGGGGUGAUUUAAAAAUUGAAUAAACUUUUUUAUUUGUACUUACAUUGAUAUAUGAAAUUUUGAUCCUUAUUAAAGAUUAAUAGAUAAAAUUACCUUAGGGAUAACAGCGUAAUUUUUUUUAGAGUUCUUAUCAAAAAAAAAGGUUGCGACCUCGAUGUUGGAUUAAAAUUAAUUAUUGGUGUAGAAGCUAAUAGAUUAGGUCUGUUCGACCUUUAAAAUUUUACAUGAUCUGAGUUUAAACCGGUGUAAG
RNAcentral lists this ribosomal RNA (540 nucleotides) under Echinodera bellieri. Its description in RNAcentral is "partial 16S ribosomal RNA". It matches the Rfam family "Bacterial large subunit ribosomal RNA", at positions 1819 to 2625 of the family's 2925-position model. The record is from RNAcentral. Lineage: Eukaryota; Metazoa; Arthropoda; Insecta; Coleoptera; Curculionidae.